This 380-nucleotide unclassified non-coding RNA is filed under the name uncultured bacterium. RNAcentral describes it as "contains 16S-23S intergenic spacer region". The record is from RNAcentral.
UCCGGUUUGGCACCGGCAGUCUCUCUAGAGUCCCCGCCAUGACGCGCUGGCAACUAGAGACGAGGGUUGCGCUCGUUGCGGGACUUAACCCAACAUCUCACGACACGAGCUGACGACAGCCAUGCAGCACCUGUGCACGGGCUCCGAAGAGGGCCCCCCCUUUCAGGGGGGUUUCCCGUACAUGUCAAGCCCAGGUAAGGUUCUUCGCGUUGCGUCGAAUUAAACCACAUGCUCCACCGCUUGUGCGGGCCCCCGUCAAUUCCUUUGAGUUUCAGCCUUGCGGCCGUACUCCCCAGGCGGGAUACUUAACGCGUUAACUUCGGCACAGAGGGAUUCGACUCCCCCUACACCCAGUAUCCAUCGUUUACGGCGUGGACUAC